GACGAACGCUGGCGGCGUGCUUAACACAUGCAAGUCGAACGGAAAGGCCCUGCUUUUGUGGGGUGCUCGAGUGGCGAACGGGUGAGUAACCCGUGAGUAACCUGCCCUUUACUUUUGGAUAACUUCAGGAAACUGUGAUUAAUACCGGAUAGGAGCUCCUGCUGCAUGGUGGGGUUUGGACAGUUUCGGCGGUUGGGGAUUGACUCGCGGCUUAUCAGCUUGUUGGUGGGGUAGUGGCUUACCAAGGCUUUGACGGGUAGCCGGCCUGAGAGGGUGACCGGCCACAUUGGGACUGAGAGACGGCCCAGAGUCCUACGGGAGGCAGCAGUGGGGAAUAUUGCACAAUGGGGGGAAGCGUGAUGCAGCAACGCCGCGUGUGGGAUGAAGGCCUUCGGGUUGUAAACCGCUGUCGCCUGUGACGAAGCGUGAGUGACGGUAAUGGGUAAAGAAGCACCGGCUAACUACGUG
Molecule: ribosomal RNA, 468 nt
Filed under: uncultured bacterium
Lineage: Bacteria
Description: partial 16S ribosomal RNA
Rfam family: Bacterial small subunit ribosomal RNA
Source: RNAcentral